Molecule: long non-coding RNA, 1218 nt
Filed under: Nicotiana benthamiana
Lineage: Eukaryota; Viridiplantae; Streptophyta; Magnoliopsida; Solanales; Solanaceae
Description: long non-coding RNA (NBEN_LNC014949)
Source: RNAcentral
CGCAGAGCCCCGGGAACUGUUACCUUGUUCCUUGACCUCCUUCUGUUGGUGGUCCUUUAUGAUAGCACCAAUGCUCGUCAUCUGAGGGCAUUUUGGUGACCAAUGUGGCCCUCCGCAAAUGUAGCAAUUUGUCUCCUUGCGCUGCUGGUGUGGCUGACUUGCCUUCUCGGCAAGUUCUUGUCUAAGUGACUUCCUGGGAAUGCGGGUGUCUCUGCUCCUUCCGCGUUCUCCCCCGCAUUUAGCAUAGUUACUUCUUAUCUCCUUCGCCUUGCCUCGGUCCUGCUUGAAGUUAGUUAGACUCUCAGCUUGUGAGAUAGCCUCAUUAAGAGUGGAAACCUGUCAGCGUUCCAACUCAGUUUUGGCCUAGCCUUGUAGUCCAUCUUUGAAGUAGAACAACAAGUCUCAUUGGGUGAGUUCGGGAAUUUGAAGCGUAAGGGUAGUGAAUUCCCUUAUGUAGGCCUUUAUGGAACCUGUAUGCUUCAAUUCUCGUAACCUCCUCAUGGCUUCAUCGAAGACAUUGCUGGGAAAGAACAUCUUUUUCAAUUUUGCUUUGAACUGUUCCCAUGUGCACAUCGUGCAAAGUCCCUCGCUGAUGUCCUGAUCCCUUCGUCUCCACCAUAGCAUUACGAAGACAUUGCUGCGAAAGAACAUCUUUUUGAACUCUGCUUUGAACUGCUCCCAUGUGCUCAUCGUGCAAAGUCCCUUACCAAUGUCCGCAUCCAUACGUCUCCACCACAGCAUUGCGUUCUCCGUUAAGUAGAUCACGACAGCUUGGAUCUUCAUCUCGUCGCUGCCUAUCCUGCUGCAUCACGAAUGGCUUUGAAGAUGGGUGGCUUGGGAGCGUCGAUCCUUACUUCGCGCUCUAUGGUCAGAGCAGCAUGUUUCUCUUGGUGUGCAACUUCCUCGAGCUCUUUCACUCUGGCGCUCAAGGCUUCUACCAGAUUUGUGAGUUUUUCUAUGGAAGCUUGAGCCUCUUCCUAUGCUUCCCGCUACUCGUCGAUGUCUUUGCGAAUGGUGUCGUUUUCCUCGAUUAAAGACUCCUUGAAGGAUUCAUAGUCACCUUCGAACUUGUUGAAGUGAUGGUCCAGCACCUUGGGUGUUCUGUGGGCACUCUCGACCCUGGUAACCAAUUCCAAUUCUGGAGUGAUGUUUGUGGGCAGUUCUUCUCGCUCCCAAUCACUCACUUCUGUUGUUGGAAGGUUGGUAGCAUCGCUUGGG